Long non-coding RNA from Eurytemora carolleeae, 308 nucleotides. RefSeq lists it as uncharacterized. NCBI's taxonomy places the organism in Eukaryota, Metazoa, Arthropoda, Copepoda, Calanoida, Temoridae. The transcript has 2 exons. The record is from RefSeq and is a predicted model, not a curated record.
UCGUGAUCUGUGAAUUGAUUAAGCAUUGCUAGUUAUUUUUAUAGAACUGAGAUUCAUUCCUUGUUCUCUUUAGUUUUGAUUGAAAGGACGAAUUAUCCAUAUUGAUCCUGUAGUUGGAACAAGUCUUGGAGUGUUUUCUUUCUGAAAAGAUCUGACAUUUCGUCCUGGUUCCAAUCGUAACCCUGUAGCAAAUCAAUAUCAUGCAAGGUCGAUACUUCGGUCGUGAAACAACUCCAAUCCAUGAAUGUAGUUUUUUUCUUAAUAUUUUAUUAAACUGAGAAGUACUGAAAUAAAUCCUUGAUUUGUAA